AGUGAACGCUGGCGGUAGGCCUAACACAUGCAAGUCGAACGGCAGCACAGUAAGAGCUUGCUCUUACGGGUGGCGAGUGGCGGACGGGUGAGGAAUACAUCGGAAUCUACUUUUUCGUGGGGGAUAACGUAGGGAAACUUACGCUAAUACCGCAUACGUCCUACGGGUGAAAGCAGGGGAUCUUCGGACCUUGCGCGAUUGAAUGAGCCGAUGUCGGAUUAGCUAGUUGGCGGGGUAAAGGCCCACCAAGGCGACGAUCCGUAGCUGGUCUGAGAGGAUGAUCAGCCACCCUGGAACUGAGACACGGUCCAGACUCCUACGGGAGGCAGCAGUGGGGAAUAUUGGACAAUGGGCGCAAGCCUGAUCCAGCCAUACCGCGUGGGUGAAGAAGGCCUUCGGGUUGUAAAGCCCUUUUGUUGGGAAAGAAAAGCAGCAGGUUAAUACCCCGCUGUUCUGACGGUACCCAAAGAAUAAGCACCGGCUAACUUCGUG
This 492-nucleotide ribosomal RNA is filed under the name uncultured bacterium. Its description in RNAcentral is "partial 16S ribosomal RNA". It matches the Rfam family "Bacterial small subunit ribosomal RNA", at positions 29 to 507 of the family's 1533-position model. The record is from RNAcentral.